This 1132-nucleotide long non-coding RNA is filed under the name Gallus gallus (chicken). The record is from RNAcentral. Lineage: Eukaryota; Metazoa; Chordata; Aves; Galliformes; Phasianidae.
AUUAGAAGACACGUUAGUCCCAUCUUUAUUCUUCUCAAAGUCCAUUGGCUCCUGUGUGUACGUGCUAUUAUCAAUCUUCUGUCUGCUGAGAAUUUUUCUUAGAGGGACUUAUUCCCAGGAAAGAAAAUGGGAGAUAAUUUUAACUUAACAGCUGUUGAGCAAAAGGAGAUGAGUAGGCCAGUUACUUACUAGAAGACUGAAGAGACCAGUGGCAGUUUUGCUGUGCCUUUUCCAGACUUCAGCAGACUUUCAGCAUGGUGUCUCUUGCAGGUAUUUGAAGUGAACAAAUGAAAAACGGAUCCCAGAAAUAAAUAGAAGGGAGUACUUAAAACCCUGGGAGAGUCACUCUACCAACCUAAAGACCCAGCUGUGGUCACGUGGAAAACCAACCCAACAAUUAACAACUACUUGCCUUUUCUGCCACCUUAUAUCUGAAAUAAACCCUUUGAACAGUAGGGUCAGAAUGAAUGAAGAAGAGAGGAGAAAUGAACAAGCUCAGACCAACACUGGGUACCUGAUGUGUUCCUGCAAUCAAGCAACAGAUGGGUCAUGCCCCAGCUCCAAACAGCAGACUGGGAGACUUCAAACUGUCAGGAAGAUGGGGCUUUCUGGUGCCUAGAAAGUGAUCAAACAGCCCUGCCAUCAAAUGCCCUACUUCAUGCUCAACGAACAUUUUAUUAUUAUUAUUAGCUGGCUCUGUCUCCCAAAGAAGUUGUCCCUGACAUCAUGGGUUCACCUGCUUUUUCCCAUCCCAUGUCUCCAUUUCCUUUUGGCACAGAAAGAUGUUUUUCGUAGCAUUACAAUGGACGGGAAUGGGAAUUUGCCCAGCUGAAAAAUAGAUUUUGCCUUUGUUUUGCUCAAGUUAGUUCUUGAGGGAUGUAUCCACCCCUUAUUGCAUGUACAAACACAAGGGCACUUACCAGUGCCUAAGGACAGGGAACUACAGGGGUGGCUUCAUUGGAGUCUGGCUUAGCCAGUUUACAUGGCCAUUGAAUUAAAGUCCUGUGAGCCCUAAAGCUGUCCUUUGUAGCAAUAGCCAUACUGCCACUGUUUUGCUGUAACUGUACGCAGAAAAAAAACCACAAUGGAUCAAAGUAGCAACUCACAAAUAAAUAAACCUCCUCUCAUGUUU